CUCUACACCCUUUGUGACAUACCUUUAACUGUUGCUUCGGCGGGUGGCGGCCUCGCGGCCGCCCCCGGCCCCGCUCACGCGGGGCGCCCGCCGGAGGUCCACCAAACUCUGAUUUAACGACGUUUCUUCUGAGUGGCACAAGCAAAUAAUCAAAACUUUUAACAACGGAUCUCUUGGUUCUGGCAUCGAUGAAGAACGCAGCGAAAUGCGAUAAGUAAUGUGAAUUGCAGAAUUCAGUGAAUCAUCGAAUCUUUGAACGCACAUUGCGCCCGCCAGCAUUCUGGCGGGCAUGCCUGUUCGAGCGUCAUUUCAACCCUCAAGCACCGCUUGGUUUUGGGGCCCUACGGCUGACGUAGGCCCUUAAAGGUAGUGGCGGACCCUCCCGGAGCCUCCUUUGCGUAGUAACUUAACGUCUCGCACUGGGAUCCGGAGGGACUCUUGCCGUAAAACCCCCCAAUUUUUACAAGGUUGACCUCGGAUCAGGUAGGAAUACCCGCUGAACUUAAGCAUAUCAAUAAGCGGAGGAA
Molecule: ribosomal RNA, 527 nt
Filed under: fungal sp. TCPR 106
Lineage: Eukaryota; Fungi
Description: eukaryotic LSU rRNA
Rfam family: 5.8S ribosomal RNA (bases 154-307)
Source: RNAcentral